GACGAACGCUGGCGGCGUGCUUAACACAUGCAAGUCGAACGAUGAUCAGGAGCUUGCUCCUGUGAUUAGUGGGGAACGGGUGAGUAACACGUGAGUAACCUGCCCCUGACUCUGGGAUAAGCGUUGGAAACGACGUCUAAUACUGGAUACGACUGCCGGCCGCAUGGUCUGGUGGUGGAAAGAUUUUUUGGUUGGGGAUGGACUCGCGGCCUAUCAGCUUGUUGGUGAGGUAAUGGCUCACCAAGGCGACGACGGGUAGCCGGCCUGAGAGGGUGACCGGCCACACUGGGACUGGGACACGGCCCAGACUCCUACGGGAGGCAGCAGUGGGGAAUAUUGCACAAUGGGCGAAAGCCUGAUGCAGCAACGCCGCGUGAGGGAUGACGGCCUUCGGGUUGUAAACCUCUUUUAGUAGGGAAGAAGCGUAAGUGACGGUACCUGCAGAAAAAGCACCGGCUAACUACGUGCCAGCCGCCGCCGUAA
This 483-nucleotide ribosomal RNA is filed under the name uncultured bacterium. RNAcentral's name for it is "partial 16S ribosomal RNA". It matches the Rfam family "Bacterial small subunit ribosomal RNA", at positions 28 to 523 of the family's 1533-position model. The record is from RNAcentral.